This 684-nucleotide ribosomal RNA is filed under the name uncultured bacterium. Its description in RNAcentral is "bacterial SSU rRNA". It matches the Rfam family "Bacterial small subunit ribosomal RNA", at positions 65 to 724 of the family's 1533-position model. The record is from RNAcentral.
AACGCGAAGUUGUCUUCGGACAGCGAGUAGAGUGGCGCACGGGUGAGUAACGCGUAGAUAAUCUACCCCCAUAUCUGGGAUAACAUCGGGAAACUGGUGCUAAUACCGGAUACACUUAUUAAUUCGCAAGGAUAUAUAAGGAAAGGAGACCUCUUCAUGAAAGUUUCUGUAUAGGGAUGAGUCUGCGUACCAUUAGCUAGUUGGUGGGGUAAUGGCCUACCAAGGCAACGAUGGUUAGCGGGUCUGAGAGGAUGAUCCGCCACACUGGAACUGGAACACGGACCAGACUCCUACGGGAGGCAGCAGUGAGGAAUAUUGCGCAAUGGGGGCAACCCUGACGCAGUGACGCCGCGUGAGUGAAGAAGGUCUUCGGGUCGUAAAGCUCUGUCAGGUGGGAAGAAGUGAUUAUAGGUUAAUACCCUAUAGUUUUGACGGUACCACCAAAGGAAGCACCGGCUAAAUCCGUGCCAGCAGCCGCGGUAAUACGGAUGGUGCGAGCGUUGUUCGGAAUCACUGGGCGUAAAGGGCGCGUAGGCGGUAAUGUAAGUCAGAUGUGAAAGUCCAGGGCUCAACCCUGGAAGUGCAUCUGAAACUGCAUAACUAGAGUAUUGGAGAGGAAAGUGGAAUUCCUGGUGUAGAGGUGAAAUUCGUAGAUAUCAGGAGGAAUACCGGAGGCGAAGGCGA